CCAUACUACUUUAUCAGUUACUGUUUUUUUGCAUGGAUAUUUUUUCAUUUACUUAUGAGUGCAAAUAUCAGACAUAGCACUGAUCUUAUUUCUUUGGAUCAUACUGUUUUUCAGUUAGUAACAAAGCAAUGUUAUUAUUGCUAAUUGUGGUUGUUGUUUUUCUAAAUCCGCAGUAACAUUUGUGCCCAUCUGAGCUUCCGUUAGUUCAUUAUAUUUUUUUUCAUUAUACUUCAGUAUAUGAUGUUUUUUGAGUAUCAAUAUUAUUUUUCUAUAUCUAAGAGUCCAGUUUGUGUCCAUUUGUGCUUGCUUUCAUGUUCUCUUAACAAAAUUACUUUGUACACUCUUCCUAGAUUUGUUUUGAACACAAUUACAGUAUGAGUUUUGCUUGCUUUGGCUGAAGAUAUUCCGAUUAGCUCUUGAAAGGUCUGUCUGAGACAGACUUGAACUUUAAUUGCUUAAGUUUUUUCAAUCCUAUUUACUGGUCUCGAUCUGUUUUAGGGAUUUUGACAUUUCAGGAACAUAAAGUCAAGAGUCAAGACAGGAUAUAUGUGCCAAAGUAGGGCCAGUUAUCUAAUUUCAGUACUUCAAGACAAGCCCGGUGGUGAAACAAUUCAGGCUGGACUACUUACAACAGUUGUCAGCUUCCUUUCGCAGCAUGGACGGGGGUGAUGGACGCAGAUAUUCAAGCACGAUUUGUAGAAAAAUUGUUACUUAAGAAUGAAGAACAAUGCUGGCAGAUUUGUUCUUGCCCUUCCAGUGCAAAAGAGGGAAGAACAAUCAUCAACCUCUCUUCUGACGGUGAGGACAUUGAUGCAACGCACUGACCGGUUGGAGAGGCGCGGGGUGUCAUCUGUGUUAUUUCAAGGGAAGCUGCUGUAGUUAGUUGCGUUCAAGGACGCGGUGGAGUUUCAUCUUUUAUGCCUCCAUGCGGUGCGCUGUAUUGAAGCGCUGGCCUUUUUGAAGAUCUGGACGAACUCACGGCCCUGGAUGUCGCUCUCACAGGUGGCAAGUGAAGCACAGCUCCCGUGGCUGUGAUGAGCAGGAACUUUACCAGGACAAGCAUCUUCAGUCUAGCAGAAACUGCGUAUGGUUCUGCAGACUGGUACAUUGCCCUCGAGAAGCUAGAUGCAGCCUGCACAUCUUACUGGUUUUUCAGUGGGUUGUCUCCUAUUGUUUAAUUCUUAUGUCUUCAUAUGUCUGCACAGCUGGGAUUACUCAUUUGUGAACCGACUCAUUUGUUGUCAAAUCCUCUUAAUUCAGAGUUUACAGCCGUCUCAAGCAGAGCUCAGACAGAGAGGCUUAGGCGAUUACUGCUACUUUAGCUGUUGUAAGGCCCAGGCAAGUUAAUGUGAAAUGGGGCAUUCAGCUAACACAGAGUAGUCCAGAUGCCACA
Molecule: long non-coding RNA, 1393 nt
Organism: Lolium rigidum
Lineage: Eukaryota; Viridiplantae; Streptophyta; Magnoliopsida; Poales; Poaceae
Exons: 3
Source: RefSeq, a predicted model, not a curated record